CCUGUGCCUUGAUUCAUUGCAUGUUCGGCUGCUGUUUCCCACAUGUGUCAGGAGGCGGCAGAGAGGAGAGAGGCUCUGUCUAUGGCCGUUGUACUGACCUAUGAACAUCUGAAUGAUUACUAGCCUAACAUU
Molecule: small nucleolar RNA, 132 nt
Organism: Meriones unguiculatus (Mongolian gerbil)
Lineage: Eukaryota; Metazoa; Chordata; Mammalia; Rodentia; Muridae
Source: Ensembl